CACCUUCGGGUGUGAGUAGAGUGGCGCACGGGUGAGUAACGCGUGGGAACCUACCAAGCAGUGGGGAAUAACCUUUGGAAACGAAGGCUAAUACCGCAUACGCCCUUCGGGGGAAAGAUUUAUCGCUGUUUGAUGGUCCCGCGUCUGAUUAGCUAGUUGGUAAGGUAACGGCUUACCAAGGCGACGAUCAGUAGCUGGUCUGAGAGGAUGAUCAGCCACACUGGGACUGAGACACGGCCCAG
This 242-nucleotide ribosomal RNA is filed under the name uncultured bacterium. Its description in RNAcentral is "partial 16S ribosomal RNA". It matches the Rfam family "Bacterial small subunit ribosomal RNA", at positions 75 to 334 of the family's 1533-position model. The record is from RNAcentral.